Molecule: ribosomal RNA, 440 nt
Filed under: uncultured bacterium
Lineage: Bacteria
Description: partial 16S ribosomal RNA
Rfam family: Bacterial small subunit ribosomal RNA
Source: RNAcentral
CCUACGGGUGGCUGCAGUGGGGGAUAUUGCACAAUGGGGGAAACCCUGAUGCAGCGACGCCGCGUGUAGGUAGACGGUCCUCUGGAUUGUAAACUACUUUCUCCAGGGACGAAGAUGACGGUACCUGGGGAGGCAGCUCCGGCUAACUACGUGCCAGCAGCCGCGGUAAUACGUAGGGCGCGAGCGUUGUCCGGAAUUACUGGGUGUAAGGGGAGCGUAGGCGGGGAUGCAAGUUGGGUGUUAAAUCUACCGGCUCAACUGGUAGUCGCACUCAAAACUGCAGCUCUUGAGUGAAGUAGAGGCAGGCGGAAUGCCUAGUGUAGCGGUGAAAUGCGUAGAUAUUAGGAGGAACACCAGUGGCGAAGGCGGCCUGCUGGGCUUUGACUGACGCUGAGGCUCGAAAGUGUGGGGAGCAAACAGGAUUAGAUACCCUGGUAGUC